Molecule: ribosomal RNA, 468 nt
Filed under: uncultured bacterium
Lineage: Bacteria
Description: partial 16S ribosomal RNA
Rfam family: Bacterial small subunit ribosomal RNA
Source: RNAcentral
GACGAACGCUGGCGGCGGGCUUAACACAUGCAAGUCGAACGGAAAGGCCCUGCUGGUGUGGGGUGCUCGAGUGGCGAACGGGUGAGUAACACGUGAGUAACCUGCCCUUGACGUUGGGAUAACUUCAGGAAACUGGGGUUAAUACCAAAUAGGAGCUCCUGCUGCAUGGUUGGGGUUGGAAAGGUUCGGACGAUGGGGAUGGACUCGCGGCUUAUCAGCUUGUUGGUGGGGUAGUGGCUUACCAAGGCUUUGAUGGGUGGCCGGCCUGAGAGGGGGACCGGCAAACGUGGGACUGACAUACGGCCGGGAGUAGUGAGGGAGGCAGCAGUGGGGAUUAUUGCACGAUGGAGGGAACCCUGAUGAAGCACCGCCGCGUGAGGGAUGAUGAACUUCGUGUGGUAAACCGUAAUCCUAUGUGCCGAAGCGUGAGUGACGGUACUGGGUAAAGAAGCACCGGCUAACUACGUG